RNAcentral lists this long non-coding RNA (947 nucleotides) under Heterocephalus glaber (naked mole-rat). RNAcentral describes it as "lncRNA (ENSHGLG00000045505.1)". The record is from RNAcentral. Lineage: Eukaryota; Metazoa; Chordata; Mammalia; Rodentia; Bathyergidae.
GCCGCGGGUGGGGGCAGACUUCGCGGCCCCCAGAUCCCAGCGGGAGGCGCGUGCAGAGGCUGGAGCCCUGGCAGCCCGGAGGGGGUUGGAAUCUGGCCCGGCUCCCCCACCUGCCAGACAGUUUGGCGAGAUGAGUGUCCACAUCCCACCGCGGGGGAACAGGUUUUCCCAUUCAGGAGGAACCUGCAAAGGAGGGGGAGUGAAAUGGAGACAUCUGCUGGCCAGAGAUGGGAUGUGCACGUGGAUGCCUCCCAGCCCUGCUGGAUGCUAUCAGCUCACCCUUCCUGGUGAAGGGAAAAUGCUCUACAAGGCAAAGAGAAUCUGCUUUCCUGUUGUCCGUGAGCUAGAUGGCAGCUACCCUUCAACUGGAGUAUCCUUCUGUAGGUGACCUUGUUCUCUCCAUACCCACUCGGUGGGCUGGGUCCCCAUCCCUGAUUUAUCUGAGUGGGGGACCUGACCUGAACCAUUGGCAUCCUGGAGCUGAAUGUAGAAAGACCUGGCCACACCUCUGUUCCAUCGGUCACUACCACCCUUCUUCCAGCGCCCCCAUGGCUCCACCUUGUCCCCACACGAGGUGGAGUGAAGAGGCGGCAGGCAAGGUCUCCCUGAAACAUCUGAUGAUUCACUAUUGACUCCAUCACUCUUGUGAGGAAGAAAAUAUUUUUAGGAAGAUCCAAGCAAUUUCCUCGGAGGUUCCACUGACCAACACUGAGCCAACACUCACCUCUAAAUACAAAAGAAGCUGGGAAAGGUGGCAUCUGGAACCUUCAGUUCUCUGGCACAUGAGAAGAGUAGAGAAAUGACAAUGGUGGAGUCAGCCACUGGUGGUUUUGUUUAUUUAAAAUUUUGUAACUAUUUCAAACGUCUCUGUCUUUUCUAUAGUUUUUAGGUUUGUUUCUAUAAAUAAGCUGUAAAAUUCUUGAACAGUAAAAAUUGUGACUUCCGUG